This 417-nucleotide ribosomal RNA is filed under the name Triticum aestivum (bread wheat). RNAcentral describes it as "partial small subunit ribosomal RNA". Lineage: Eukaryota; Viridiplantae; Streptophyta; Magnoliopsida; Poales; Poaceae. The record is from RNAcentral.
AUGGUUAUACUGGAUCCAACAUCAUUAACACCCCAAACUGCAAACUGCAUUGUUCCAUUGCCUCUAAAAAGUAACCAACAACCUAAACACAACCAGCUUGCCUCUAAACAAUCCUCAAAAGUUUUACUCCAAAUUGUCCCACUCAACCAUCCGCUAAAGUUUUACUCCAAAUUUAUCGCGUACCAAUCAAAAAAAUCAUGUAGCUCCCACUGUAGCAAAACUCAUCAAGUAAAUACGGCAAUUCUAAACCCAACAUCACUAACCCCCAAAGUGCAAGCUACAAAUGUUCCAUUGGCCCAAGUAAAAAAAGCUAUCUACUCUGACUACCCAUUUUACACCAUAAAGCUGCCUUUGCCACAGGGGAAAAUCCAACAAACAUACUACUCAUCCAAACAAAUUUGUCCCAAAUUGCACUGA